UACGAAGGGGGCUAGCGUUGCUCGGAAUCACUGGGCGUAAAGGGUGCGUAGGCGGGUCUUUAAGUCAGGGGUGAAAUCCUGGAGCUCAACUCCAGAACUGCCUUUGAUACUGAGGAUCUUGAGUAUGGGAGAGGUGAGUGGAACUGCGAGUGUAGAGGUGAAAUUCGUAGAUAUUCGCAAGAACACCAGUGGCGAAGGCGGCUCACUGGCCCAUUACUGACGCUGAGGCACGAAAGCG
This 238-nucleotide ribosomal RNA is filed under the name uncultured bacterium. RNAcentral describes it as "partial 16S ribosomal RNA". It matches the Rfam family "Bacterial small subunit ribosomal RNA", at positions 524 to 761 of the family's 1533-position model. The record is from RNAcentral.